RNAcentral lists this ribosomal RNA (110 nucleotides) under Labilibacter sediminis. Lineage: Bacteria; Pseudomonadati; Bacteroidota; Bacteroidia; Marinilabiliales; Marinilabiliaceae. The record is from RNAcentral.
UCAGGUGGUUAUAGCAUUGGGGUUCCACCUCUUCCCAUUCCGAACAGAGAAGUUAAGCCCAAUAGCGCCGAUGGUACUGCAUACUGUGGGAGAGUAGGUCGCCGCCGACU